RNAcentral lists this ribosomal RNA (443 nucleotides) under Bacillus paranthracis. Its description in RNAcentral is "bacterial SSU rRNA". It matches the Rfam family "Bacterial small subunit ribosomal RNA", at positions 1 to 431 of the family's 1533-position model. The record is from RNAcentral. Lineage: Bacteria; Bacillati; Bacillota; Bacilli; Caryophanales; Bacillaceae.
UUUAUUGGAGAGUUUGAUCCUGGCUCAGGAUGAACGCUGGCGGCGUGCCUAAUACAUGCAAGUCGAGCGAAUGGAUUAAGAGCUUGCUCUUAUGAAGUUAGCGGCGGACGGGUGAGUAACACGUGGGUAACCUGCCCAUAAGACUGGGAUAACUCCGGGAAACCGGGGCUAAUACCGGAUAACAUUUUGAACUGCAUGGUUCGAAAUUGAAAGGCGGCUUCGGCUGUCACUUAUGGAUGGACCCGCGUCGCAUUAGCUAGUUGGUGAGGUAACGGCUCACCAAGGCAACGAUGCGUAGCCGACCUGAGAGGGUGAUCGGCCACACUGGGACUGAGACACGGCCCAGACUCCUACGGGAGGCAGCAGUAGGGAAUCUUCCGCAAUGGACGAAAGUCUGACGGAGCAACGCCGCGUGAGUGAUGAAGGCUUUCGGGUCGUAAAAC